This 166-nucleotide ribosomal RNA is filed under the name uncultured bacterium. RNAcentral describes it as "partial 16S ribosomal RNA". It matches the Rfam family "Bacterial small subunit ribosomal RNA", at positions 355 to 514 of the family's 1533-position model. The record is from RNAcentral.
UAGGGAAUCUUCCACAAUGGACGAAAGUCUGAUGGAGCAACGCCGCGUGAGUGAAGAAGGGUUUCGGCUCGUAAAACUCUGUUGUUAAAGAAGAACAUAUCUGAGAGUAACUGUUCAGGUAUUGACGGUAUUUAACCAGAAAGCCACGGCUAACUACGGGAGGCAG